GAAAUGCGAUAAGUAAUGUGAAUUGCAGAAUUCAGUGAAUCAUCGAAUCUUUGAACGCACCUUGCGCUCCUUGGUAUUCCGAGGAGCAUGCCUGUUUGAGUGUCAUGGAAUUCUCAACUCUAUUUGCUUUUGUGAAUAGAGCUUGGAUUUGGAGAUUUAUUGCUGGUACUUGUGAUCGGCUCCUCUUGAAUGCAUUAGCUCGAACCUUUGCGGAUCAGCUAUCGGUGUGAUAAUUGUCUACGCCGUUGCAGUGAAGCAUAUCAAUGGGCUCGGCUUCCAAUCGUCCUUUACUGGACAAUGACUUUGACCUUUGACCUCAAAUCAGGUAGGAUUACCCGCUGAACUUAAGC
Molecule: unclassified non-coding RNA, 350 nt
Filed under: plant metagenome
Description: partial contains 5.8S ribosomal RNA, internal transcribed spacer 2, and large subunit ribosomal RNA
Rfam family: 5.8S ribosomal RNA (bases 1-105)
Source: RNAcentral